Molecule: ribosomal RNA, 344 nt
Filed under: uncultured Anoxybacillus sp.
Lineage: Bacteria; Bacillati; Bacillota; Bacilli; Caryophanales; Anoxybacillaceae
Description: bacterial SSU rRNA
Rfam family: Bacterial small subunit ribosomal RNA
Source: RNAcentral
GGUGGUGCAUGGUUGUCGUCAGCUCGUGUCGUGAGAUGUUGGGUUAAGUCCCGCAACGAGCGCAACCCUCGACCUUAGUUGCCAGCAUUCAGUUGGGCACUCUAAGGUGACUGCCGGCUAAAAGUCGGAGGAAGGUGGGGAUGACGUCAAAUCAUCAUGCCCCUUAUGACCUGGGCUACACACGUGCUACAAUGGGCGGUACAAAGGGUCGCGAACCCGCGAGGGGGAGCCAAUCCCAAAAAGCCGCUCUCAGUUCGGAUUGCAGGCUGCAACUCGCCUGCAUGAAGCCGGAAUCGCUAGUAAUCGCGGAUCAGCAUGCCGCGGUGAAUACGUUCCCGGGCCUU